This 2262-nucleotide ribosomal RNA is filed under the name metagenome. RNAcentral's name for it is "bacterial LSU rRNA". It matches the Rfam family "Bacterial large subunit ribosomal RNA", at positions 676 to 2925 of the family's 2925-position model. The record is from RNAcentral.
AGCGAGUCUGAACAGGGCGUUCAGUCGCGCGCCGCAGACGCGAAGCCGGGUGAGCUACCCAUGGGCAGGCUGAAGCGGGGGUAAGACCCCGUGGAGGGCCGAACCCACUUAGGUUGAAAACUGAGGGGAUGACCCGUGGGUAGGGGUGAAAGGCCAAUCAAACCCGGAGAUAUCUCGUUCUCCCCGAAAUAGCUUUAGGGCUAGCGUCGGGAGCUCACCUGUGGAGGUAGAGCACUGGACGGCCGCGGGGGCCUCACCGCCUACCAAAGCCGACCAAACUCCGAAUGCCACAGGUCCGGAUCCCGGCAGUCAGAACAUGUGGGCUAAGCUGUGUGUUCGAGAGGGAAACAGCCCAGACCGCCCGCUAAGGUCCCGAAGUCCGUGCUGAGUGGCAAAGGAUGUGCGUUUGCUCAGACAACCAGGAUGUUGGCUUAGAAGCAGCCAUUCAUUUAAAGAGUGCGUAACAGCUCACUGGUCGAGUGGACAUGCGCCGACAAUAUACGGGGCUAAGCACGGCACCGAAGCGGCGGGGUGGCGCCCUUGUGGGCGCGACCGGUAGGGGAGCUUUCCGGCCUGCGGCGAAGCCGAGGGACGACCCUCGGUGGAGCGGCCGGAAGUGAGAAUGCUGGCAUGAGUAGCGAGAGCGGCGUGGGAAACGCCGCCGCCGUAAACCCAAGGUUUCCCGGGCGAGGCUAAUCCCCCCGGGGUCAGUCGGGAGCUAAGGCGAGGCCGGAAGGCGUAGCCGAUGCACAGCGGGUCGACAUUCCCGCACCCCCGACGCGGAGUCUGACCGAAGGUGUGACGGAGGAGGGUAGCCGGACGGGGUUCUGGACGUCCCCGCGAUGGCGCGUAGGGCGAUGCCUUGUGAAACGCGGGCAUCACGUGGCCUGAGGCGCCGGACGAAGCGAGCGAGCGAAGCCGGUGAGCCCAUGCUCCCAAGAAAAGCACCUAGGGAUCCGCUAGGGGCCCGUACCGCAAACCGACACAGGUGGGUGGGUAGAACAUACCAAGGCGAUCGGGAGAACCAUGGUUAAGGAACUCGGCAAAACUGCCCCGUAACUUCGGGAGAAGGGGUGCCGGCGUGGCGUGGAGGGGCUUGCCCCCCGAGCGCGGGCCGGCCACAGCGAAGAGGUCCAAACGACUGUUUAUCAAAAACACAGGACUCUGCUCAAGCCGUAAGGCGACGCAUAGGGUCUGACGCCUGCCCGGUGCCGGAAGGUCACGGGGAGCGGUCAACCUCCGGGUGAAGCCGCGAACCCAAGCCCCGGUAAACGGCGGCCGUAACUAUAACGGUCCUAAGGUAGCGAAAUUCCUUGUCGGGUAAGUUCCGACCUGCACGAAAGGCGCAACGAUUUGGACGCUGUCUCGACCAUGGCCCCGGCGAAAUUGCACUAGUCGUGAAGAUGCGACUUACCCGCGGAAGGACGGAAAGACCCCGUGAACCUUUACUGCAGCUAGGCAUUGGCUGCCGGACCGUCGCGUAGAGGAUAGGUGGGAGGCAACGAACCGAGGGCGCCAGCCCCCGGGGAGCCACCCUUGGAAUACCACCCCCGACGCUCUGGCAUCCUAACCCCACGCCCUGACCGGGGUGGGGGACCGUGCCUGGUGGGUAGUUUGACUGGGGCGGUCGCCUCCCAAAGAGUAACGGAGGCGCGCGCAAGGUCUGCUCGGGACGGUCGGCAACCGUCCUCAAGAGUGCAAGAGCGUAAGCAGGCUUGACUGCGAGGCCAACAAGCCGAGCAGGUGGGAAACCAGGCUCUAGUGAUCCGGCGGCCCAGAGUGGAAUGGCCGUCGCUCAACGGAUAAAAGGUACUCCGGGGAUAACAGGCUGAUCUUCCCCAAGAGUCCACAUCGACGGGAAGGUUUGGCACCUCGAUGUCGGCUCAUCGCAUCCUGGGGCUGGAGCAGGUCCCAAGGGUAUGGCUGUUCGCCAUUCAAAGCGGUACGCGAGCUGGGUUCAGAACGUCGUGAGACAGUUCGGUCCCUAUCCUCCGUGGGCGCAGGAAGAUUGAGGGAGGCUGCCCCUAGUACGAGAGGACCGGGGUGGACGGACCUCCUGUGCACGGGUUGUCGACCAACGGCACCGCCCGGUAGCAGAGUCCGGUCUGGAUAACCGCUGAAGGCAUCUAAGCGGGAAGCCAGUCCCGAGAUGAGUCUUCCCUUCGGUAAGGGCCCUCGUAGACCACGAGGUCGAUAGGGCGCAGGUGCAAGCGCGGCGACGCGCUCAGCCGAGCGUCACUAAUAGCCCGAGCUCUUCCAUCA